This 270-nucleotide long non-coding RNA is filed under the name Daucus carota (carrot). RNAcentral describes it as "long non-coding RNA (DCAR_LNC005524)". Lineage: Eukaryota; Viridiplantae; Streptophyta; Magnoliopsida; Apiales; Apiaceae. The record is from RNAcentral.
GAAUGUUCUUGAAGCUUUUCAAUUGAAAUUUGGGGGUUUCCUUUCUGUUGAUUCUGGGUGUGCAUGGCUUAUACCAUUAGAAAGAGUGUGAAGAGAGGAAUCCGGUGGUGGUGUUGGUUUGAGUGGGGGACGCCGGAGUCGGCUUCGCCGGGAGCUUCAAGAAAGCCGCCGCCGGCGGAGCUUUUGCUCCAUUUUCCGGCCAAUUCCUACGGCCUCUGAUGAUUCUGAGUAUGUGUAUACGAUGCUAGGAGUGUGUAUGAGUGAUCUGGA